Molecule: ribosomal RNA, 476 nt
Filed under: Neisseria flavescens
Lineage: Bacteria; Pseudomonadati; Pseudomonadota; Betaproteobacteria; Neisseriales; Neisseriaceae
Description: bacterial SSU rRNA
Rfam family: Bacterial small subunit ribosomal RNA
Source: RNAcentral
AUUGAACGCUGGCGGCAUGCUUUACACAUGCAAGUCGGACGGCAGCACAGAGAAGCUUGCUUCUUGGGUUGGCGAGUGGCGAACCGGGUGAGUAACAUAUCGGAACGUACCGAGUAAUGGGGGAUAACUAAUCGAAAGAUUAGCUAAUACCCGCAUAUUCUCUGAGGAGGAAAGCAGGGGAACUUCGGGCCUUGCGUUAUUCGAGCGGCCGAUAUCUGAUUAGCUAGUUGGUGGGGUAAAGGCCUACCAAGGCGACGAUCAGUAGCGGGUCUGAGAGGAUGAUCCGCCACACUGGGACUGAGACACGGCCCAGACUCCUACGGGAGGCAGCAGUGGGGAAUUUUGGACAAUGGGCGCAAGCCUGAUCCAGCCAUGCCGCGUGUCUGAAGAAGGGCUUCGGGUUGUAAAGGACUUUUGUCAGGGAAGAAAAGGCUGUUGCUAAUAUCGACAGCUGAUGACGUACCUGAAGAAUAAGC